GGUGGAUAAAUUCGUGGAGGAGCUCAAGGAAGCCUUGGAUGCGGACAUUCAAGAUCGAAUCAUGAAGGAGAGGGAAAUGCAGAGUUAUAUUGAAGAGCGCGAACGUGAGGUUGCUGAACGUGAAGCUGCUUGGAAAGCUGAGCUCUCCCGUCGCGAGGCAGAGAUUGCUAGACAAGAAGCAAGGUUGAAGAUGGAGAAGGAAAAUCUGGAAAAGGAGAAAAGUGUGCUAAUGGGAACUGCAUCAAAUCAAGACAAUCAAGAUGGAGCUCUUGAAAUUACUGUAAGUGGUGAAAAGUACAGAUG
RNAcentral lists this unclassified non-coding RNA (303 nucleotides) under Hevea brasiliensis (rubber tree). Lineage: Eukaryota; Viridiplantae; Streptophyta; Magnoliopsida; Malpighiales; Euphorbiaceae. The record is from RNAcentral.